Molecule: ribosomal RNA, 465 nt
Filed under: uncultured bacterium
Lineage: Bacteria
Description: partial 16S ribosomal RNA
Rfam family: Bacterial small subunit ribosomal RNA
Source: RNAcentral
GACGAACGCUGGCGGCGUGCUUAACACAUGCAAGUCGAACGGAAAGGCCCUGCUUGCAGGGUCCUCGAGUGGCGAACGGGUGAGUAACACGUGGGUGAUCUGCCCUGCACUUCGGGAUAAGCCUGGGAAACUGGGUCUAAUACCGGAUAGGGGCCAUUUUUAGUGUGAUGGUUGGAAAGUUUUUUCGGUGUAGGAUGAGCUCGCGGCCUAUCAGCUUGUUGGUGGGGUAAUGGCCUACCAAGGCGGCGACGGGUAGCCGGCCUGAGGGGGUGGACGGCCACAUUGGGACUGAGAUACGGCCCAGACUCCUACGGGAGGGAGAAGUGGGGAAUAUUGCACAAUGGGCGCAGGCCUGAUGCAGCGACGCCGCGUGGGGGAUGACGGCCUUCGGGUUGUAAACUCCUUUCGCUAGGGACGAAGCUUUUUGUGACGGUACCUAGAUAAGAAGCACCGGCUAACUACGUG